UUUGAAUCUUUUCAGUUUAUAUUGAUAUUGAAAUUAUUGGUUUCAGGCGCUCUAAUCUCCUCAAUCGAUUCCCUUUUUUCAGCUGCAAACCAAAGCGAUUAAUAUUGGUUUCAGGCGAUUGUACGAACGCUAUAGAGAGUUAAACUAGUGAGUUUCUCUUCUUUUGUUUGGUUAAUUUGAUUUUGUUCUGGAAUUUGGAUUUAUAUGCACGAAGGAGUGUGAUUUGAGUUCAAUUGGAUAACGAUUGCUGCAAGUGAGUUUGAUUUUCUCUUCUUCUUUUUUGGGGUAAAUUGGCUAGCUAUGUUUGAAAAUUUGUGUGGAGUUAUUACAGAUGUGUUUGUGAGAUUUCUUCAUAGAGUUGAAAAGUAAGAAUGUGAAGAGGAGUGAGAUAUAUAUGAAACUUUUGGUUGUUUUAUUUUUUAAUUUUUUAGAGAGGGUCUCUUGAUUGUAUAUCUGCUUUGACAUGUAUGUUCCUGCUGCAUUUUAUGUUGUGCUUUUCUUCCAGCUUCUUGUGUUUUGCUUGGAAGAAUAUGAAAGAGAGUGAAUCAUGCAUGUUUGCUUCAAAAUGUACAAAUUUGAAACUGAAAUAUCUUAAGGGAAUGUGAAAACAUGAGUAGAACGUCGCCUAGUAUUGAUUUGAAACUGAGUUUGAUCAGAAACAUGCUGAAAUGAAUUUUGAGCAGCACUAUCAAAAGGACAGUUUCAUCUUUCCAUCAUGCUAGAGUAGUUUAGAAUUUAAAGUUGUUUCCUUGUGCAAGAAAAACCAGCCUUCGUCAUUUCGGACAGAGGAAAGUAAAUGGUUUCUUAUCCACAUGAUUAGGACUUUCUAGUGUCAAAUAUUGAACCAAAGCUGAUAGAAAAUUGUAUUUGCCCCUAUUUUGGUGAAAAUGUUCUUUUCUUUUCUGGUUGUCUGCUUUCUUAUGGACGUAAUACAAUUUUUUGUUAUGUUUGAAGAGCAGGACCAAUAAUAUCAUGCAAAGUAAUAGUAACUACUGCAGCCUCUUCCGUUUCAAUCAUAGCUAAGUAAUUGGUGAUUAUUUCUCUGUUUUGGUGGUAAACAAAUGCCUCGAUACAAAGAUGAGCCUCCUGCUAUUCGUGUUUACACAGUCUGUGACGAAUCAAGUAUUUGAUAGUGAGGAAUGUUCCAUCUUAAGGCAGGGUUUAUGAUUGUCGAGCUCUUACUUACAGGCAAGACGUCAAGGCAAGAGAUAUUGAAGAGUAUAAAAAGCGCAAGCUUCCAAUGCACCAGGUUCAUUGACAGCUACACCAAGGACUGGAAACUCAAGUUACUAGUAUUUUUAUCUUAUAAUAAAGUGCUAUUUUUUUCUUUUUUCGUUUUACUGUAUCUACAAA
RNAcentral lists this long non-coding RNA (1353 nucleotides) under Rosa chinensis. RNAcentral describes it as "sRNA RchiOBHm_Chr5g0033351". Lineage: Eukaryota; Viridiplantae; Streptophyta; Magnoliopsida; Rosales; Rosaceae. The record is from RNAcentral.